Molecule: unclassified non-coding RNA, 293 nt
Filed under: fungal sp.
Lineage: Eukaryota; Fungi
Description: partial contains small subunit ribosomal RNA, internal transcribed spacer 1, and 5.8S ribosomal RNA
Rfam family: Eukaryotic small subunit ribosomal RNA (bases 1-47)
Source: RNAcentral
AAAGUCGUAACAAGGUAUCCGUAGGUGAACCUGCGGAUGGAUCAUUAUCACGUAUCCACGUAUCAACCAUUGUGAACUGUCUUUACCUUUGAGAAGUUUUGUGAGUGAUUAGGGUUUGAAAUUUCUUUCACGAGAGAUAUCAACUCGCUUCUCAAGGUGUAUUUAAUCACUUCAUUAUUAAACAAUUUUAACCAUAAAUUUUAAAUUUUUGAACUGAUCUAUUUCAUACUCUUCGGAGAUGAAAUUCAUUACGAAACAAAGAACAACUCUUAGCAACGGAUAUCUUGGUUCUC